Long non-coding RNA from Triticum aestivum (bread wheat), 726 nucleotides. RefSeq lists it as uncharacterized. The record is from RefSeq and is a predicted model, not a curated record. Lineage: Eukaryota; Viridiplantae; Streptophyta; Magnoliopsida; Poales; Poaceae. The transcript is spliced from 5 exons.
GGGAAGGGGUUGACAACAAGGGGUGGCUGUGUGGUAACGCAAAGCUAUCAAAGUAGGUUCCUGCUACUGAGGAGCAGAAGUGGCUCAUUGAGCCCACGGAGAAGGAGGGUCCGUAUUCCCAACGGCCUCAUCACCGUCUUGCUGAAGUUAUACUGGCCGGGGUUGUACUGUCCGAUCCAGUCAGGCACCCGGACCGUUAGGUUUUGGCCACGAGCUGGGACCACUAGGAAGCGGGCCUCCACGCGGACCAUGAGACCUAUGCCAAGGCCAUGAUCACUACUUUCUGGAAAUUCUAUCGAGUUCUUCCGGAGCACAAGGCCAGAGCGGACCAGAUCGUGCUGCGCCAAUGCAAGAAAGAGGCCCGCCAGAUGCAGUAUGAGGUGCGCUAUGCGGCCAUCUCGACAUACUAUCACGACGCUCUUGGUGUGAAGAUGACCAAGGAAGAAGCACGGAGGAUGGGCAUGACCUUGGAGAGGCACGAGUACUUGGCGAUAAGUGUAUCCAAAUUGGUGUUAUGAAAAAGACGAGUCCUGGGCGGCAUUGGUGGAUCUUUGGUGUGAUGAGGCUGGAGCUGGGCGGCUACGAGAAUCAAAAACAAAGUUAACCGAGGGAAGGAGGGAGUACAUGCUCAGGGAAACCGAAACCACUUUCUCCACAAGGCAGUUAAUGAGAAGAAACUGAAGCGGCCGCUCUCACACAUGCAGGCGUGGGAGAUUGCCCAUACGC